CAUAACUCCGACCCUGAUGCGGAAAAAAGUGCCAAAUACUCACCAAAGAAGCAUGGCAACAAUCGGAGACGUCAUGCAAAAAAUGAAGUCAAUCGCAAAAUAAUUCGAUUUUUAAUAAUUAUUUUCCGAUUUUUAAGUGCCAUCUUUGGAUGGCCCUAGCUACCUUGUGGUUCAUUUCCGUAUAGGGGUUUAUUAAGCAAAGUUUAAUUUCUUUGAGCUCUACUAUACGUGGUUUCUUUUUUUGUAUUUUGAAACACCCUGUAUAAAUAAAUAUAUAACUA
RNAcentral lists this long non-coding RNA (281 nucleotides) under Olea europaea subsp. europaea. The record is from RNAcentral. Lineage: Eukaryota; Viridiplantae; Streptophyta; Magnoliopsida; Lamiales; Oleaceae.